UACGUAGGUGGCAAGCGUUGUCCGGAUUUACUGGGCGUAAAGAGCGCGCAGGCGGUCGUUCAAGUCGCGUGUGAAAGCCCCCGGCUCAACUGGGGAGGGUCACGCGAUACUGAUCGACUGGAAGGCAGGAGAGGGUAGUGGAAUUCCCGGUGUAGUGGUGAAAUGCGUAGAUAUCGGGAGGAACACCAGUGGCGAAGGCGACUACCUGGCCUGUGCUUGACGCUGAGGCGCGAAAGCUAGGGGAGCAAACGGG
Molecule: ribosomal RNA, 253 nt
Filed under: uncultured bacterium
Lineage: Bacteria
Description: partial 16S ribosomal RNA
Rfam family: Bacterial small subunit ribosomal RNA
Source: RNAcentral